UGAUGCAGCAACGCCGCGUGAGCGAUGAAGGCCUUCGGGUUGUAAAGCUCUUUUCUAUGGGAAGAGACAAGGACGGUACCAUAGGAACAAGUCUCGGCUAACUACGUGCCAGCAGCCGCGGUAAAACGUAGGAGGCGAGCGUUAUCCGGAUUUACUGGGCGUAAAGGGCAAGUAGGCGGUAGCCAAAGUUGGAUGUGAAAUCUCCCGGCCUAACUGGGAGGGAGCGUUCAAAACUAGGUUACUAGAGGGCAGAAGAGGGGGGUGGAACUCCUAGUGUAGCGGUGGAAUGCUCAGAUAUUAGGAAGAACACCAGUGGCGAAGGCGACCCCCCGGUCUGAACCUGACGCUGAGAGGCGAAAGCUAGGGUAGCAAACGGGCUUAGAUACCCCGGUAGUCCUAGCUGUAAACGUUGGAUACUAGGUAUUGGGGGUAAUACUCCCUCAGUGCCGUAGCAAACGCGUUAAGUAUCCCGCCUGGGGACUACGGCCGCAAGGUUAAAACUCAAAGGAAUUGACGGGAGCCCGCACAAGCAGCGGAGCGUGUGGUUUAAUUCGAUGAUACACGAAGAACCUUACCUGGGUUUGACAUAUACGUAGUAGCGAGCCGAAAGGUGAGCGAGCCUUCGGGCAGCGUAUACAGGUGCUGCAUGGCUGUCGUCAGCUCGUGCCGUGAGGUGUCGGGUUAAGUCCCGCAACGAGCGCAACCCUCGUUGCUAGUUACAUGUUCUCGCGAG
RNAcentral lists this ribosomal RNA (733 nucleotides) under uncultured bacterium. RNAcentral describes it as "bacterial SSU rRNA". It matches the Rfam family "Bacterial small subunit ribosomal RNA", at positions 384 to 1131 of the family's 1533-position model. The record is from RNAcentral.